Molecule: ribosomal RNA, 862 nt
Filed under: uncultured bacterium
Lineage: Bacteria
Description: bacterial SSU rRNA
Rfam family: Bacterial small subunit ribosomal RNA
Source: RNAcentral
ACGAUGAAGCUGGAGCUUGCUCCGGCAGAUUAGUGGCGAACGGGUGAGUAACACGUGAGCAAUCUGCCCUUGACUCUGGGAUAACUGCGGGAAACUGUAGCUAAUACCGGAUACGACGCCUUGGGGCAUCCCACGGGCGUGGAAAGAAUUUCGGUCAAGGAUGAGCUCGCGGCCUAUCAGCUAGUUGGUGAGGUAAUGGCUCACCAAGGCGACGACGGGUAGCCGGCCUGAGAGGGUGACCGGCCACACUGGGACUGAGACACGGCCCAGACUCCUACGGGAGGCAGCAGUGGGGAAUAUUGCGCAAUGGGCGAAAGCCUGACGCAGCAACGCCGCGUGAGGGAUGAAGGCCUUCGGGUUGUAAACCUCUUUUAGCAGGGAAGAAGCGAAAGUGACGGUACCUGCAGAAAAAGCACCGGCUAACUACGUGCCAGCAGCCGCGGUAAUACGUAGGGUGCAAGCGUUAUCCGGAAUUAUUGGGCGUAAAGAGCUCGUAGGCGGUUUGUCGCGUCUGCUGUGAAAAUCUGAGGCUCAACCUCGGACUUGCAGUGGGUACGGGCAGACUAGAGUGCGGUAGGGGAGAAGGGAAUUCCUGGUGUAGCGGUGGAAUGCGCAGAUAUCAGAGGAACACCAAUGGCGAAAGGCACUUCUCUGGGCCGUAACUGACGCUGAGGAGCGAAAGCGUGGGGAGCGAACAGGAUUAGAUACCCUGGUAGUCCACGCCGUAAACGUUGGGCGCUAGAUGUGGGUCACAUUCCACGUGAUCCGUGUCGCAGCUAACGCAUUAAGCGCCCCGCCUGGGGAGUACGGCCGCAAGGCUAAACUCAAGGANUGACGGGGCCCGCACAGCGGCGGAGCAUGC